AUUGAACGCUGGCGGCAUGCUUUACACAUGCAAGUCGAACGGUAACAGCACUUCGGUGGCUGACGAGUGGCGAACGGGUGAGUAAUACAUCGGAACGUGCCUAGUAGUGGGGGAUAACUACUCGAAAGAGUAGCUAAUACCGCAUGAGAUCUAAGGAUGAAAGCAGGGGACCUUCGGGCCUUGCGCUACUAGAGCGGCUGAUGGCAGAUUAGGUAGUUGGUGGGAUAAAAGCUUACCAAGCCGACGAUCUGUAGCUGGUCUGAGAGGACGACCAGCCACACUGGGACUGAGACACGGCCCAGACUCCUACGGGAGGCAGCAGUGGGGAAUUUUGGACAAUGGGCGCAAGCCUGAUCCAGCAAUGCCGCGUGCAGGAUGAAGGCCUUCGGGUUGUAAGCUGCUUUUGUACGGAACGAAAAGCCCUCUUCUAAUACAGGAGGGUCAUGACGGUACCGUAAGAAUAAGCACCGGCUAACUACGUG
RNAcentral lists this ribosomal RNA (482 nucleotides) under uncultured bacterium. RNAcentral's name for it is "partial 16S ribosomal RNA". It matches the Rfam family "Bacterial small subunit ribosomal RNA", at positions 30 to 507 of the family's 1533-position model. The record is from RNAcentral.